UAAUUCUCCUUGAAUGAUUUUUUUUUCGUGGAAUUCUCCUUAAAUUACCAAAUCCUGACAUGGGGAGGUGGUGACGAUAAAUAACAAUAAUGGGUUCAUUGAGUCUAGUAAUUGGAAUGAAUACAAUUUAAAUCCCUUAAUGAUGAUUCAUUGGAGGGCAAGUUUGGUGCUAGUAGCCGCGAUAAUUCCAGCUCCAAUAGCCUAUAUUUAAGUUGUUGCAGUUACACCCUAAGUGGGCCUAAUGGUUAAAAACUUGUGUUUCAUUCUAAGAGGUCACAAGUUCAAAUCUAGAGGAGAGUAGGGUAUGUAUAGCUCCAUAGGCUUUAACCCACAAAGAGGAUCUCUUAUCCCACAAACAAGAUACACCAAUUUAGUGUCUAACUCAACCGUGACCUUAAAGUUAUAU
Picea glauca (white spruce) is the source of this 406-nucleotide non-coding RNA. The record is from Rfam. NCBI's taxonomy places the organism in Eukaryota, Viridiplantae, Streptophyta, Pinopsida, Pinales, Pinaceae.